UUUCUGAUCAAGUUAAUUUGCGAAAAUAUUAGCAACGCAAUGUCUUUUACAUAUUGUCUUUGUUCCAAUGCAAGAUGUUGCAGCUCAAACUAUUUUUAUUGUUUUAUUGGGGUGCCGAGGUCCAAAAAAAAAUGCAUGCAGAAGAUUUGUGUGAAGAACGCAUACAAUACAUAUACCGAAGGCCUUAUUUUUUCUCACCCUUUCCUACCCACACACAAAUUUUUCUCCUCAGCACCCUCUUAAGUAUCUUCACAAAAUUCAGUUCUUUAUGGAAUUUUCCAUUGAAAGUACGCAAAGUACUUUGUCUUCAAUCAAUGAGAUAUGUGAAAAGUAAAUUUAAUCCAUUUAUAGGAAUUUUUAGUGUGUAAAUUGUGAAAAAGCCGAUUGUGAAAAAAUGGAUAAACGUGACAAGGUAAUGUAUAAUUUUUAUAAUUAACAAUACUUUAUAUUACGAACUGAUUUGCAAUAAAUAAAAUUACCAAACUUAAAUUCAACCAACUAAUUAUAUGAUUUUACUACCUUGCAGUUAAUCAGACUACAUACAAUAAAUAGGAGAGAUACGUGGAUCUUAUUCUCAUCGAAGCCAUCCUGUCUGUACUUUGAUAGUCUUCUGAUCCCCAUUAAUAAUUGAAACAGGAUAAAGGAAAUCCAAUAGCGAAAAUUAAAAUUUAAAUAUUUCACGGAACGAGCGCAUAUAGCCCAAGAUCUUGUGCGUUGUAAACCCAUAAUCAAAUUGUGGAAAAUUCGAUUGAAGGAAAAGGAUAAACACGAAAAGUUAAUCAGUCCACAAUAAACAAGAGGAAAAUUGAUCUAAUUCUCAACAAAGCCCUUCUAUCAGUACCUGGAUAAAGUCUGCUGAUCGCAAAUAUUGAUUAAUAUACGAUAGAGGAAAUCAAUUCGCAAGAAAUGAAGUUUAAAGAUUUCAUCAACUGACAUAAGAAGCAGAACUUUCUCGAUUCCAUGAAGAGGGGAACUUUGGAAAAAAAUGAUGCUGAAUGUUGUGGACACUUACAUAAAAUUGCCCAACUCCACCGGACACAUUGGCUUUUUUUUCAACAAAACGGGGUAUAAAAGACAUCCCAUUUUUAAAAAUUGUUUUAUGUAAUUAAAAGUUAUGAUUGAUGUAUCUAGUUUAAAUGACUAUAUUUUUUUUAACAAAAUGUCUUCUAAAUGUAAAUUAAAAUUUAAGUAUACCUGUCUAUGUAAUUAUUAUAAAUAUUGUAUAAAAUGUACUAUCAAUUUAAGUGAAAUAAAAAAAAAGAUUUUUUAUGAAAAUCCAAUUUUUAAAUAUUUUAGUAAAAAAAAACUAGAUUUCCAGUUGGCAUAGCUAAAUUUUAGUAAUCCAAGAAUUUAUAAUUGAUAGUUAUGUCCACUCAAACCUCUGCUGGCAUUCCUAAACUUUAGUAGUAUAUAGACGUAAAACAUUUUAAUAAUCAUAACUAAAUAUUCUGUUGAAAGAACUAAAAUUUUUCGUUUUGAGCAACUACUAAAAUUUUAGUAAAAAUUUCUUUACUAAAAUUCUCUACUAAAGUCCAGUCAGUGCCAGUUUUAGUAAUGAUAACUAAAAUCUGAA
Long non-coding RNA from Lutzomyia longipalpis, 1573 nucleotides. RefSeq lists it as uncharacterized. The transcript is spliced from 4 exons. Lineage: Eukaryota; Metazoa; Arthropoda; Insecta; Diptera; Psychodidae. The record is from RefSeq and is a predicted model, not a curated record.